UGUUGAAAUAUGAGAGUAGUAUUAUAAAUACAGAUAGAUUAGCUAUUUUAUAUAUUUUUGAGACAGGCUUCUACCUUCCAUUGAUACAUGGGUGUUCGAUAUGCUACCAACGUAGCCGUGGUCCGCUGUCAAUAUAUACUCUCUACUACUUUUUGAUUCAAAUAUCAAAUUUGAAAAAAAAAAUGGUGGUACCAUGGGCCAAUGUGCUUGUGAUCCUAUGAACCAAAUUAUGAGGUGCCCCUAAUUAAACAUCUUCAAAUAAAAUGAAAUAGGGGUAAUUUCAUAUCUAAUAUUGAUUUUACCUCUGUUUUCUGGUUUUUAUUUUUGCCCCUACUUUUUUUAAAAUGGUUAUACAAGGGCUUGCCAGAUGGCACCGUGGGCCCGUGGCCCUACAGGCCACAGACUCGUGGCCCAGAUCUCCCCUUUCCCUGGGCCCGGCCCGACUACCAAGCCCACGCGCCGAGCCCGUCCUCCUCUCCGGCGUCCCGGCCGCAUUCAUGGGGCGGCGGCGGCGGCGGCGUUGUAGUUGGUGCGGCCCGCGGCGGAGGCGCUUCUCCGGCGUCCGCUCUACCCCAAUCUACCCGUGGUUAGAACUGCAAUCCUCCAUAAAUCAAUGAAGAAUAGUGAGUCAAACCAUAGCCAAAAUCCAAUAACAAUCCCUAUGAUUGUGGCUUAGUAAAGACCUAAAUUCAUCCUUAUUUGGUUCAGAUCCAAAUCUGGAACUUUCAAUUGGGCAUGCACUCAACACAGUUCCACAAAGCCCAUAAUCGUUGCUGUAAAUUGAUGGAUCGUUCAGUGUCUCAAGCUGGCCACCUGUGGGUGCCCUUCCUGACAGAGUGACAGGUGGUUAUUAGAGAGAUGUAAGGAGCUGAGAAAUGUUAAGCUAGAGAUGUUGGUCGUAAUAUGACCUGAAAAUGCAUUGCAAGAUAAAUCCAGGGACUCUAGGGCAUUCAUAUUGCCAAUAUCAUUUGGGAUACUGCCAGAUAUAUUAUUUCUUGAUAAUUUUAGGAACUGGAGACCCUUAAGGUUUGCAAACUCUGCAGGUAUCUCAUAAGAAAAAAUGUUGCUUGUAAAUCAAUAACUGCCAGAAGUGGAAUUGUGCUUUCAAAUGUAUAAGAUCUGCUCUUCCAAAUUAGUUCAAUUCUGUUAGAAUAUGGGGACAAAAAGUAAUUUGAAUAUGUGAACGCAACAUAUGUUGAUCCAAUGUUGAGCCUUUUGUUCUGUUGCAUCAUUGAUCUGAAGUUAGCAAAAUGUGCUGUGUGCUGGUUGAACCUACCAAUUGAUUGUCAGCUAGAUCAAGUAGCUGCAGUUGAGAAUGAUUUGAUAGUUGCCAGGGUAUGUAUCCUUCGAACAUAUUUGAGCAUAACUGAAGAAUUUUAAGAGAAGGCAAGCUUUCCCAUAUCCUUGAAGAAAUUUCAGCAGAUAGCCUAUUGUCCCGGAGAUCUACCAUUGUUAAGUUCUUGCAGAUGGGAAGACUUUUGCUUGUUGAGGUUGGGACUUUGCCAGAGAAAGCAUUGCUUGACAAAUCUAGGAAAAACAAUUGUUGAAGAUUUGACCAGCAAGUAGGGAGGUCCCCAUAGAUCUGAUUGCUUGAUAGAUCCAAGAAGUUCAGUAAAACCAAUUGACAGAACUCCUGAGGAAGCAUCCCUGUAAAUUGAUUCGAAUCGCCUGUGCAAUGUCACCAGAGAAGUGGUUUUGCCCUAUCCAAGCAUACGCCAAUUUUGGACAUGGCAGAAGCAUUCCCAACAAGUAGUUAUUUCUCACCAGCAAUUUCUGAAGCUGAAAUCCACUGCAUAGAUCAGGUGGUAAUUCCCCCAAUAAAUUGUUGUUGGACUAGUCUAGAAUAAGGAGUGCGAUGCUUUUCUAGUUCCAAAAAAAAAAAAAAAGAGAGAGUCUAGAAUAAGGAGUGGCUGCAUCUGGAUCUGCCAAGUCACGAGUGCUGAAUACUUACCUAAGACUUGGGCUGUCAACAGAAUGACAUAUACUGAUGUUGGAAAGUUGGACUAGUUAAUUACUACUGCUGGAACCAGCUUAUAGAACCUAUGUAUCGAACCGUUUUUCCCUUUUUCUCUAUUUUCUGUUCCCUAAUAUUUUGUUUGUAUUCAUCACCAAACUGCUAGCGACAAGAGGUGGCUUCUGCAUUCAGUCUUUCCACAUAGCUAGGCAUGAGCAAAACCUUCAAUGGUUUUCUUUGUGAAUUAAUGGUUUCUAAGCCGGAUGAUUGUUUUAUUUGUGCAUGGAAAUUACCCUAUUGAUGGGCAUCAGAAUGGUUGAUUGAUGAUAUUCUCCUAAGAGCACAUGCAGCAACAGUUGCAUGUCAGACCAUUUGAAUGUCUCAAUACUUCAGAAUAGAAAGAGAUGGGUCUUGCUAGCAAGCUAGUUUCUUUGAAGCUGAAGGUAUCUCGUCAACUUCUCUGCUUGGUACAUAACGAGCUGCCAUAUAUUUUCCAGCAAUGAUCAUACCCAUUCCCCAUACUAGCUGGUUGAGUUGCCAUACAUGUAUGCAGCAGUUUUCAUUUCAUAUCUACUAGUAGUAAAUUCAUCAUCUUGGGAUAUCAAACUUGUCAAUUUGCAUUCAGUUUAAACUUAAUUAAGGUGAGAACUUUUGACUCAGCAGUUCUAGAUUCUAACCUAACAUGUACAUUUCCUCUAUUUUGUUCCUAGAUUAACCUGAUAAGUUUUAAAAAGAAUCACACAUACACUUAUUUGUUUUGGUUCUUCAGAAAUACCAUGUUUGCUUUCUUGAAUCAUACGUUUAUUCUGAUGUAGUAAUAUGGGUGCUGUUGGACGACACAACAUUGUAAGAUUGUACCGGAUCUUAGUUUCAACAGAGAACCCUUCAGCCCUGAAGACCAAUGUGCCUGAGUCUUCGAAACGAUCAGGAUAAGAUGUCUUUGUAAGUUGUAACCAUUUGUGUUGGUUCGACGAUCUGCUAACCUUCAUUCUUUCCUGUACACAAGGUAAGCAUGCAGCCAGGCAAGGCUUAGGAGAUCCCAGUGCUGCAUUACAACGAUAUAAGAGAGGAAAUCAUCAUUUGGAAGGAAGCAUGAAUUUUUUGAGAGUGUGAUUAAUUGAAACCCCUGCAAUGUCUUUGUCUUUUUUGGGGGGCUAAUACCGGUGCAGUUGUCACCCCACCUCGACAGCUUAAUGUCGAUCUUGCAAACACUUGUAACCCUCCUUUUCCUCUUAAUAAAAUUUGUCUUGGAUGGGUGCACAACCCUGCAUUCUUGCAGGAAUCAUGGAUGAGUUUUCCUUGCUGGGUCCAUUUGGUGUUUGGGGCGCGGGAACAUAUUUCGCAAUAAAUAGUUCAAUUACAGCAGAAGAAACUGGGAAUGAUUCAUUAGUAUUUACUAGGCAGCUCCGUUCCAAAGUGUUCAUGGUCCUGAUGCCGUACGCUUCACCAAACAUCCUCCGGUUCACGAUUUGAUGCCUGCCUGUCGGCGGCCAAUUGAAGACUAAUACAUGCUUAGAGUGCAACAACAUGAGGUUUGUACAUUAUGUGCAAUUCGUUUUAGCAAAAAAAAAAACUAAUUGAGAUUUAGAAUGCAUGCAUACAAACAAAUAUCACAGUUAAUCUAUAAACAUAUAUUGGGCAUUUUCGGCUGGUCAGGGCAGCCGCUGCACGCAGCCGUAGCCGCUGUAGCUGCAGACACAACACACUGUUUGUAUUGGCUGCACAACAGUUAAAUUAAGUGCAGCGGCACAGAGUAAUUAGUAGUUCAUGAUAAAAGUACUUUUGUAUAGCAUUUUAAUAAUAUUGUAAAUGUA
This is a non-coding RNA of Oryza sativa Japonica Group (Japanese rice), 3768 nucleotides long. NCBI's taxonomy places the organism in Eukaryota, Viridiplantae, Streptophyta, Magnoliopsida, Poales, Poaceae. The record is from RefSeq and is a predicted model, not a curated record.